UGGUAAAAUGUCCCACCUCAUUCUCCAGGAAUCUGAUUCAGGAAGUCUGGGGUGGAGGCCAGGAAUCUGCAUUUUUAAACAAGCACCUUAGGUGAUUCAGAUAGUCAGUGGACCA
This 115-nucleotide microRNA precursor is filed under the name Pteropus vampyrus (large flying fox). RNAcentral's name for it is "miRNA (ENSPVAG00000025714.1)". The record is from RNAcentral. Lineage: Eukaryota; Metazoa; Chordata; Mammalia; Chiroptera; Pteropodidae.